Molecule: transfer RNA, 86 nt
Filed under: bacterium
Lineage: Bacteria
Description: tRNA-Leu
Rfam family: tRNA
About the family: Transfer RNA (tRNA) molecules are approximately 80 nucleotides in length.
Source: RNAcentral
GGGCCAGUGGUGAAACUGGUUAUACACGAGAGACUUAAAAUUUCUUGCCGAAAGGCGUGUGGGUUCGACUCCCACCUGGCCCACCA